This 2247-nucleotide long non-coding RNA is filed under the name Anser brachyrhynchus (Pink-footed goose). Its description in RNAcentral is "lncRNA (ENSABRG00000019655.1)". Lineage: Eukaryota; Metazoa; Chordata; Aves; Anseriformes; Anatidae. The record is from RNAcentral.
AUGGCUCAUGUCGCCACCGCCCUCCAGCUGGUGCUGAGGGCCAACACCGCGGUCCUGGAUGACCGUCAGCACGCCAGACCCCUGCCCCCUGAGGGGCUUCAGCGGCAGGAAAAGCCCUUUAGGGACCGAGCAUCACCCCCGCACCCCCUGCGGCUGUCUCGCUCGCCUCACCCCGGGGACCCGGGAAGGCGUCUGCACUCCGGGAGGCACGGCACGCAGCCGGCCGCCUCCCAGCCCCCGGCCCCCACCAGCCACAUCGCCCAGCUCACACUGGUGGGGUCUCCGGGCAUCACGGCCCCCCGAGAGCCCCUCACCUGCCACCCGCUGCCAGGGACACGGCCACUGUUGCCUGGUCACGGAUGUGUAUCCGGGGCAGCGGCGGCCACGGCUCCGGGGCGGGACUCUGGCACCCGGGUAACCCAAAGACAUCGCCCCCAGCCCGUCCGGCACCUCUGGGCGUCACCCGUGGGGACCCCACGCCGCGGUCACGCGUGGAGCCCCCCCGGGGAGGCCCCUGCAGCAACGGGGGGCACACGGUGCUGCUGGCACGGUCAGAGUACGGCAGGGACCCGAUCCUGAGCAAAACAGUGGCUGCACACAUCGUACAAAGGGAUGUAAACAUGCGUCUCAUUUUCCCCCUUCCUCAGACCCGAGCAUUUUGGUAUUCGCCAGUAGCUUUCCAGGCUGAAAUGCGGCUUUUGCUCUUUCAAAAUGCUGAUGUGCUCAGCAGCGGGUACAUCACAAGCCCAGCCAGCGCGUGCCCUGUGGGAGCACGCGUAAUGCUGUUGCCAGCUCUCGUGAUAUUCCUGCGAGUCCCCAGAUAGCUGGCAUUUUUGGGGAGCUGCACCGCCUCUCGGUUAAAAUAUAUCUCCUGGUUGUGAAGAAGAGGUUACAAAUGUGAUCUGAGAUUACCCCAAAGGCUUCACUACAAGACAGCAAACGGGAAGGCAUUUGGAUUAAAAAAAGAAUCAAGAUCUUGAGGCCUACUUCGUGACUUUCAGUGAUGUGCAGCUAGACUUGAGCAGCAAUGUAGGAGUGGCCUGAUGCUGUCUCUCCAGCUCCGGAGAAGAGUGUGAGGCAGCCUGGGAUUCAAACUGGUGUUUAAUCAGGGGGGAUGCCAGAGCCCUGGCAAAGCCCUUCCCGAAAGCUGGCCCCACACUAACCAUUUUAUUUCUGGGAGCACAUCUUCAGGGCCUCUAAGAUCUUGCUUUUGAAAAAAAAAAUAUGGCAGAGACGACAUGGCCCAAGCAUUGCAGUCAGUUGUGGAGCUGGAUGCAAGCACGUGUUGAAUCAUUUGCUGAAAACAAGCAGUGGUACCUUCAAAAUGGCUGGGUUAACAUCUCCACAUUUAUUUCCAAGCACAUAGACAUUAGCAUGCGCUUCCAGCAGGGUUUGCAGUGGUAGGCACUUCAGAUGCCAGCUCAAAUGCAGCUGGCUAAGUGUGGAGGGUAAAACACCCAUCCCAUUCCCAUUCCCAUUCCCAUUCCCAUUCCCAUUCCCAUUCCCAUUCCCAUUCCCAUUCCCAUUCCCAUUCCCCUCUUCGCGUCUGGGAUCACUGCCAUUCCCGAGUGCCUACAACUCGGCAAGAUGAGGACCCCGAGGAGCAGGGAGAAGCUCCAAAGCCCCUUCUCCAGGCCCCCCUCCUGUUGCCUUCUGCUAGAGAGCACUGCUAAAAAGCGGUCAGCACCUCCUGCAGCCCUGGGGGAGGCAGCAAAAGGAUCAGGAGGAGGAAAUAGCCCCUGCAAAGCCAGCGCUGAAGGGACGGGGAGCACAGCGUGCCUGCGUGCUGCCUCUCCUCCCAAAGCCUUCCACUCUCCCCAGGUCCCAGCAGGAGCCGUGCAGCUGCUGACAGCUAUUAAUAGAGGUGUUGAUCGUGGGUUCUGUCUCCUACCGCUCCCUGGGAUGAGCACUAAUUACCCUUCAUUAGCCCGGAUUUGGCUCCAGCUCCCACCUUCCAGCCCCCUGCCCGGUGCUCGCAGGGAGAGGCAGCAGUGCAGGAGCCAGCACGAUGGGGAGCGGUGCCCGGCUCUCGGGGCAUCCCGCAGCCUCGUCCCUGGGUGCUGAGGGCAGCGAGGAGUUUAUCUCAGCCUGGCCUUUCAAAUGUGCCCCAGGAGCCAAGCAGGCGGUGAGGUGAACGUCCCCACCAAAGCCUGAGGAUGCUGGCGGGUGGGACGCUCUCUGUUUAAAAUUAAUGAAAGAAAGAAGGUGGGGAAUAAAUUAUAAACAGCAAAUCUGGUCUGCUCUUGU